UUGCUAUCGGAGUCCGAUUUAGCCAUGCUAGUCGUACGAGUUCAUACUCGUGGCGGAAAGCUCAGUAACACGUGGCCAAACUACCCUGUGGACGAGAAUAACCUCGGGAAACUGAGGCUAAUUCCCGAUACAGCUCGCAUGCUGGAGUGCAGCGAGCUGGAAACGCUCCGGCGCCACAGGAUGUGGCUGCGGCCGAUUAGGUAGACGGUGGGGUAACGGCCCACCGUGCCGAUAAUCGGUACGGGUUGUGAGAGCAAGAGCCCGGAGACGGUAUCUGAGACAAGAUACCGGGCCCUACGGGAGGCAGCAGGCGCGAAACCUUUACACUGCACGCACGUGCGAUAAGGGGACUCCGAGUGCGAGGGCAUAUCGUCCUCGCUUUCGUGUACCGUAGGGUGGUACACCAACAAGGGCUGGGCAAGACCGGUGCCAGCCGCCGCGGUAAUACCGGCAGCCCGAGUGAUGGCCGAUCUUAUUGGGCCUAAAGCGUCCGUAGCUGGCUGCGCAAGUCCGUC
RNAcentral lists this ribosomal RNA (515 nucleotides) under uncultured Haloquadratum sp. RNAcentral describes it as "bacterial SSU rRNA". It matches the Rfam family "Archaeal small subunit ribosomal RNA", at positions 27 to 543 of the family's 1478-position model. The record is from RNAcentral. Lineage: Archaea; Methanobacteriati; Methanobacteriota; Halobacteria; Halobacteriales; Haloferacaceae.